Molecule: ribosomal RNA, 163 nt
Filed under: Tragus racemosus
Lineage: Eukaryota; Viridiplantae; Streptophyta; Magnoliopsida; Poales; Poaceae
Also listed under: 2 other names
Description: 5.8S ribosomal RNA
Rfam family: 5.8S ribosomal RNA
About the family: 5.8S ribosomal RNA (5.8S rRNA) is a component of the large subunit of the eukaryotic ribosome. It is transcribed by RNA polymerase I as part of the 45S precursor that also contains 18S and 28S rRNA.
Source: RNAcentral
AACAUGACUCUCGGCAACGGAUAUCUCGGCUCUCGCAUCGAUGAAGAACGUAGCAAAAUGCGAUACCUGGUGUGAAUUGCAGAAUCCCGUGAACCAUCGAGUUUUUGAACGCAAGUUGCGCCCGAGGCCUUCUGGCCGAGGGCACGUCUGCCUGGGCGUCACG